GAGAGUUUGAUCCUGGCUCAGGAUGAACGCUAGCUACAGGCUUAACACAUGCAAGUCGAGGGGCAGCAUGGUCUUAGCUUGCUAAGGCCGAUGGCGACCGGCGCACGGGUGAGUAACACGUAUCCAACCUGCCGUCUACUCUUGGACAGCCUUCUGAAAGGAAGAUUAAUACAAGAUGGCAUCAUGAGUCCGCAUGUUCACAUGAUUAAAGGUAUUCCGGUAGACGAUGGGGAUGCGUUCCAUUAGAUAGUAGGCGGGGUAACGGCCCACCUAGUCUUCGAUGGAUAGGGGUUCUGAGAGGAAGGUCCCCCACAUUGGAACUGAGACACGGUCCAAACUCCUACGGGAGGCAGCAGUGAGGAAUAUUGGUCAAUGGGCGAGAGCCUGAACCAGCCAAGUAGCGUGAAGGAUGACUGCCCUAUGGGUUGUAAACUUCUUUUAUAAAGGAAUAAAGUCGGGUAUGGAUACCCGUUUGCAUGUACUUUAUGAAUAAGGAUCGGCUAACUCCGUGCCAGCAGCCGCGGUAAUACGGAGGAUCCGAGCGUUAUCCGGAUUUAUUGGGUUUAAAGGGAGCGUAGAUGGAUGUUUAAGUCAGUUGUGAAAGUUUGCGGCUCAACCGUAAAAUUGCAGUUGAUACUGGAUAUCUUGAGUGCAGUUGAGGCAGGCGGAAUUCGUGGUGUAGCGGUGAAAUGCUUAGAUAUCACGAAGAACUCCGAUUGCGAAGGCAGCCUGCUAAGCUGCAACUGACAUUGAGGCUCGAAAGUGUGGGUAUCAAACAGGAUUAGAUACCCUGGUAGUCCACACGGUAAACGAUGAAUACUCGCUGUUUGCGAUAUACGGCAAGCGGCCAAGCGAAAGCGUUAAGUAUUCCACCUGGGGAGUACGCCGGCAACGGUGAAACUCAAAGGAAUUGACGGGGGCCCGCACAAGCGGAGGAACAUGUGGUUUAAUUCGAUGAUACGCGAGGAACCUUACCCGGGCUUAAAUUGCAGAUGAAUUACGGUGAAAGCCGUAAGCCGCAAGGCAUCUGUGAAGGUGCUGCAUGGUUGUCGUCAGCUCGUGCCGUGAGGUGUCGGCUUAAGUGCCAUAACGAGCGCAACCCUUGUUGUCAGUUACUAACAGGUCAUGCUGAGGACUCUGACAAGACUGCCAUCGUAAGAUGUGAGGAAGGUGGGGAUGACGUCAAAUCAGCACGGCCCUUACGUCCGGGGCUACACACGUGUUACAAUGGGGGGUACAGAGGGCCGCUACCACGCGAGUGGAUGCCAAUCCCAAAAACCUCUCUCAGUUCGGACUGGAGUCUGCAACCCGACUCCACGAAGCUGGAUUCGCUAGUAAUCGCGCAUCAGCCACGGCGCGGUGAAUACGUUCCCGGGCCUUGUACACACCGCCCGUCAAGCCAUGGGAGCCGGGGGUACCUGAAGUGCGUAACCGCGAGGAGCGCCCUAGGGUAAAACUGGUGACUGGGGCUAAGUCGUAACAAGGUAGCCG
This 1491-nucleotide ribosomal RNA is filed under the name uncultured bacterium. RNAcentral's name for it is "bacterial SSU rRNA". It matches the Rfam family "Bacterial small subunit ribosomal RNA". The record is from RNAcentral.